Molecule: ribosomal RNA, 292 nt
Filed under: uncultured bacterium
Lineage: Bacteria
Description: partial 16S ribosomal RNA
Rfam family: Bacterial small subunit ribosomal RNA
Source: RNAcentral
GUGUCAGCCGCCGCGGUAAUACGAAGGGGGCUAGCGUUGCUCGGAAUUACUGGGCGUAAAGCGCACGUAGGCGGCUUCUUAAGUCGGUGGUGAAAUCCUGGAGCUCAACUCCAGAACUGCCUUCGAUACUGGGAAGCUCGAGUUCGGGAGAGGUGAGUGGAACUGCGAGUGUAGAGGUGAAAUUCGUAGAUAUUCGCAAGAACACCAGUGGCGAAGGCGGCUCACUGGCCCGAUACUGACGCUGAGGUGCGAAAGCGUGGGGAGCAAACAGGAUUAGAUACCCGAGUAGUCC